Molecule: long non-coding RNA, 824 nt
Filed under: Macaca mulatta (Rhesus monkey)
Lineage: Eukaryota; Metazoa; Chordata; Mammalia; Primates; Cercopithecidae
Description: lncRNA (ENSMMUG00000062304.1)
Source: RNAcentral
GGCUGGAGGGGCUGGAGUGCAGAGAGCCACCAUCAGAGAGCAGCAAAGCCAGCUCUCCUUGGAGUGAGAUGGGGAACCCUCAGAGAGCCAGGAACAGGGGAGCGUGUUAUUUUAUAUUUUAUUUUAUUUUAUUUUUAUUUUAUUUUAUUUUAUUUUAUUUUAUUUUAUUUUAUUUUAUUUUAUUUUAUUUUAUUUUAUUUUUGAGACAGGGUCUCUGUUGUUCAGGCUGGAGUGCAGUGCUAUCUCAACUCACUGCAACUUCUGCCUCCCAGGUUCAAGUGAUUCUUAUGCCUCAGCCUCCCGAGCAGCUGGGAUUACAGGCACCUGCCACCACGCCCACCUUUGUAUUUUUAGUAGAGACGGGGUUUCGCCAUGUUGGCCAGGCUGGUCUGGAACUCCCGGCCUCAAGUGAUCACCCGCCCUGGCCUCCCAAAGUGCUGGGAUUACAGGGUGAGCCACUGCACCAGCUGAUUUCUGUUUUCAGUAUCUCUCUGCUGUGGUGUGGGCCACUGCCCCGGCUGAUUUCUGUUAUCUCUCUGCUGUGGUGUGGGCCACUGCCCCGGCUGAUUUCUGUUUUCAGUAUCUCUCUGCUGUGGUGUGGGCCACUGCACCGGCUGAUUUCUGUUUUCAGUAUCUCUCUGCUGUGGUGUGGGCCACUGCACCGGCUGAUUUCUGUUUUCAGUAUCUCUCUGCUGUGGUGUGGGAAAUAUUGUAGAUGGAAGGGUCGAGAAAGAAACCUAGGAGGCCAGUGGAGAAGCCACUGCAAUGGCCAAGUUCAAAAUGAUGGUGACCAGGAUGGCAGCAGCAGAGACAGUGAGAAGUGA